UACAGAGGGUGCAAGCGUUGCUCGGAAUUAUUGGGCGUAAAGGGCUCGUAGGCGGCCAACUAAGUCAGACGUGAAAUCCCUCGGCUUAACCGGGGAACUGCGUCUGAUACUGGAUGGCUAGAGGUUGGGAGAGGGAUGCGGAAUUCCAGGUGUAGCGGUGAAAUGCGUAGAUAUCUGGAGGAACACCGGUGGCGAAGGCGGCAGCCUGGACCAAUUCUGACACUCAGGUGCGACAGCGUGGGGAGCAAACAGG
RNAcentral lists this ribosomal RNA (253 nucleotides) under uncultured bacterium. RNAcentral's name for it is "partial 16S ribosomal RNA". It matches the Rfam family "Bacterial small subunit ribosomal RNA", at positions 524 to 776 of the family's 1533-position model. The record is from RNAcentral.